AAAUUGAAGAGUUUGAUCAUGGCUCAGAUUGAACGCUGGCGGCAGGCCUAACACAUGCAAGUCGAACGGUAGCACAGAGAGCUUGCUCUCGGGUGACGAGUGGCGGACGGGUGAGUAAUGUCUGGGAAACUGCCUGAUGGAGGGGGAUAACUACUGGAAACGGUGGCUAAUACCGCAUAACGUCGCAAGACCAAAGAGGGGGACCUUCGGGCCUCUUGCCAUCAGAUGUGCCCAGAUGGGAUUAGCUUGUUGGUGAGGUAACGGCUCACCAAGGCGACGAUCCCUAGCUGGUCUGAGAGGAUGACCAGCCACACUGGAACUGAGACACGGUCCAGACUCCUACGGGAGGCAGCAGUGGGGAAUAUUGCACAAUGGGCGCAAGCCUGAUGCAGCCAUGCCGCGUGUAUGAAGAAGGCCUUCGGGUUGUAAAGUACUUUCAGCGGGGAGGAAGGUGUUGUGGUUAAUAACCACAGCAAUUGACGUUACCCGCAGAAGAAGCACCGGCUAACUCCGUGCCAGCAGCCGCGG
This 528-nucleotide ribosomal RNA is filed under the name Salmonella enterica. Its description in RNAcentral is "bacterial SSU rRNA". It matches the Rfam family "Bacterial small subunit ribosomal RNA", at positions 1 to 520 of the family's 1533-position model. Lineage: Bacteria; Pseudomonadati; Pseudomonadota; Gammaproteobacteria; Enterobacterales; Enterobacteriaceae. The record is from RNAcentral.